Molecule: long non-coding RNA, 1149 nt
Organism: Cavia porcellus (domestic guinea pig)
Lineage: Eukaryota; Metazoa; Chordata; Mammalia; Rodentia; Caviidae
Exons: 2
Source: RefSeq, a predicted model, not a curated record
AUUAGGCCUCAUGAGCCACAGCCCGUCCCAGCUCUGUGUGACAUCCACGUGACCCCGGGCAAGUGACUUCAUGCUGCGGGGCUGCAUUUUGACAUCUACAAUGUGGGAGGCAUAAAAUCUACAAUAUACAGCCGCUCUGAGAGGCAAGAAUAGCACCGAGCAUGUGCCCCGUGCCCUAACCAGCACAAGCUGAUUACUGCUCAUUAAUUCUGCUCGUCAGUUAGGAAGGCCCUGGAGGGCUGUCUGUUGGUGAGUAAAGCGGGAAUCUGAGAGCAAUAAAACAACUUCAAAGAGACCUUUGAUUCCGAGGCUCAGUUAUUCAUGGGAGCCUCACCCCUAACGGAUCCAAAUUAAGGGGUGUUUUACUAUUCUGUGUCCCAUGUGCUCAGCCAGGACCAGAAUAGAAGUGAGAGAGGCAAGUGUAAAAAAAUACCCUUCCAGGGAACAGCUGGCCUCACAGCUGGGCAGGCCGGGAAGCAGAACAGGCUCAUUCCACACGGGCUGUCGACAUUCUUCAGGAUGCAACGUCCUUCACACUGACCUCUGGGCAGCACCCCAGGAACAGGGAGGGACGCAGCCUCCUGCCCAGCACCUGUGAUCCUCUGUGAGCUACGCUGCUGCCCCCAGCAAAAAUGAAAAAGAGAUCACAACUGCUAACUGGGAAGAGGUGGGCAGACAUAGCUCUCUGCAGAGAUGAUCCAUGCAGCGCCACCUGCGGCAGGAAGUGAUCGACUGCAGAAUCCCACCUCCUCCAGGAGAAAUGCGAUGGCACACAGCACCCCAGACUAACUCUCUCACGGAAAGUCUCAGCCAGCCCAGGUCUGCUGGGGUGAUGUGCUGGCAGGCAAUUAUUCACCCUGCCCUGCCCUCUAAAAUAGUUCCUGGGCCCCCACAAAGCAGAAGCUGGGGCACAGGAAGCUCUCUGCACACCCGCACGUGACAGCAGUAUUCACAGCAGCCAAAAUGUGGAGGCUACCAUGCUUCCAUGCUCAGAUGAAUGGAUAGAGCCAAGGCGGCCUAUCCAUGCAAUGGAAUGUUAUUCAGCCUCUAAAAGCAGGGAAUCUUUGCACAUGGGACACCAGGCAUGAGCAUGGGGGACACAUGAUCAAAGCCAAUGAGCUAGAGAAUUAAACUGGUCACUCUGAUAAA